ACGGGAGGCAGCAGUAAGGAAUCUUGCACAAUGGGGGAAACCCUGAUGCAGCAACGCCGCGUGAGUGAUGAAGGUCUUCGGAUUGUAAAACUCUGAUCUAAGGGAAGAAACAAAUGACGGUACCUUAGGAGAAAGCCCCGGCUAACUACGUGCCAGCAGCCGCGGUAAUACGUAGGGGGCAAGCGUUAUCCGGAAUUAUUGGGCGUAAAGAGUGCGUAGGUGGUUGCCUAAGCGCAAGGUUUAAUCUUGAGGCUUAACCUCACUCUGCCUUGCGAACUGGGCUACUUGAGUGCAGGAGGGGAAAGCGGAAUUCCUAGUGUAGCGGUGAAAUGCGUAGAUAUUAGGAGGAACACCAGUGGCGAAGGCGGCUUACUGGACGAUAACUGACGUUGAGGCUCGAAAGCGUGGGGAGCAAACAGGAUUAGAUACCCUGGUA
This 436-nucleotide ribosomal RNA is filed under the name uncultured Mogibacterium sp. RNAcentral describes it as "partial 16S ribosomal RNA". It matches the Rfam family "Bacterial small subunit ribosomal RNA", at positions 341 to 792 of the family's 1533-position model. Lineage: Bacteria; Bacillati; Bacillota; Clostridia; Peptostreptococcales; Anaerovoracaceae. The record is from RNAcentral.